RNAcentral lists this ribosomal RNA (449 nucleotides) under bacterium Ellin5013. RNAcentral's name for it is "bacterial SSU rRNA". It matches the Rfam family "Bacterial small subunit ribosomal RNA", at positions 28 to 491 of the family's 1533-position model. The record is from RNAcentral. Lineage: Bacteria; Bacillati; Actinomycetota; Actinomycetes; Micromonosporales; Micromonosporaceae.
GACGAACGCUGGCGGCGUGCUUAACACAUGCAAGUCGAGCGGAAAGGCCCUUUCGGGGGUACUCGAGCGGCGAACGGGUGAGUAACACGUGAGUAACCUGCCCUUGGCUUUGGGAUAACCCUCGGAAACGGGGGCUAAUACCGAAUAUUCACUGUCUCUCGCAUGGGGGGUGGUGGAAAGAUUUUUUGGCUGGGGAUGGGCUCGCGGCCUAUCAGCUUGUUGGUGGGGUGAUGGCCUACCAAGGCGACGACGGGUAGCCGGCCUGAGAGGGCGACCGGCCACACUGGGACUGAGACACGGCCCAGACUCCUACGGGAGGCAGCAGUGGGGAAUAUUGCACAAUGGGCGCAAGCCUGAUGCAGCGACGCCGCGUGAGGGAUGACGGCCUUCGGGUUGUAAACCUCUUUCAGCAGGGACGAAGCGUAAGUGACGGUACCUGCAGAAGAAGC